GACGAACGCUGGCGGCGUGCUUAACACAUGCAAGUCGAACGGAAAGGCCCUGCUCUUGUGGGGUGCUCGAGUGGCGAACGGGUGAGUAACACGUGAGUAACCUGCCCUUGACUUUGGGAUAACUUCAGGAAACUGGGGCUAAUACCGGAUAGGAGCUCUUGCUGCAUGGUGGGGGUUGGAAAGUUUCGGUGGUUGGGGCUGGACUCGCGGCUUAUCCGCUUGUUGGUGGGGUAGUGGCUUACCAAGGCUUUGACGGGUAGCCGGCCUGAGAGGGUGACCGGCCACAUUGGGACUGAGAUACGGCCCAGACUCCUACGGGAGGCAGCAGUGGGGAAUAUUACGCAGUGGGCGGAAGCCUGAUACAGCGACGCCGCGUGCGGGAUGACGGCCUUCGGGUUGUAAACCGCUUUCGCCUGUGACGAAGCGUGAGUGACGGUAAUGGGUAAAGAAGCACCGGCUAACUACGUG
RNAcentral lists this ribosomal RNA (468 nucleotides) under uncultured bacterium. Its description in RNAcentral is "partial 16S ribosomal RNA". It matches the Rfam family "Bacterial small subunit ribosomal RNA", at positions 28 to 507 of the family's 1533-position model. The record is from RNAcentral.